Molecule: non-coding RNA, 3942 nt
Organism: Coturnix japonica (Japanese quail)
Lineage: Eukaryota; Metazoa; Chordata; Aves; Galliformes; Phasianidae
Source: RefSeq, a predicted model, not a curated record
GAGUGACCAAAGGGAUGGAGCCAGGAUCCACCCCUACCCAGCCCUCAUUUAAGGGUUGGCAGUGGAGGUAAGAGCAUCUUGCUGGAGAUUUGUGUCUACUUGAGGCCUUCUGAAGCGUUACCAACAGGAAGCCUCAAUGGUUUUCUAACACUCACUCAUUCUACUGAGAACAAUCUCUGGGUAAUACCGAGAUCAGUCUUUAAAAUAAAACAAUGUAUUUCAUGACCACAAAGCCAGACAGAUGCCAGUGAUAAUGAUGUAACAGUGACAGAAAAAAAUCAGGCCCAAGAACUCAAUUGUGUUACCAGCUUGGCACAAACUUGUGUUUCUCUGCUGAGGAAUGACAGGCUGCUGGUGGUCCAACCAGCCCUGGGGAUUGUUUCAUCAGUAAAUGCUCUUCUGAAUGCUGUUAGCAAGGAACCUGAAUGCCUAUUUGCAGAUUGAGCUGCAAAACCAAUCAAGAACCCAUUCACACCACAGCUAGCAAGCCCUGCAUCACUCCUGAUUACAUAGCGCUGUAAGAACAAACCAUUUGGCAAGCAGUGGUUCCAGGCCUCAGAUUCUGAAGCAGUUAUAACCCAGGUGGGGCUUUGCUCUGCUCUCAUCCAUCCUUGGCUUUCUUGAAACACAAGCAGGUGAAAAUGAGUUUGACAAGUCACUGAGCAGCCUUGUCUGUACAGCUUCCAGAAUCUUGCACACAUAUCCCUACCAGAGUGGGCAUAAAAUGCUGCUGCUUGGUUUAUAUUAGUUGGAUUUCUGUGUAGUAUCUUAGGAGCGUGAACUAGUCAGCUGUCAGCAGCAUUGAGAAGACAGCUAACAUGAAGUUGUGACAACUAAGAGGAAUGGGCUAGAAUAAACCACGCUAACAAUUAUCUAGCUGUAUUUAUAAAGUAAGAUCUAGAAAGUAUGAUUGGAUCAGAGCAAGGACAGGCUUGCUGUAGGAACCUGAUAUGUGCUGAAGCAAGUGGGUCACAGAACAGGUCACUUUUUCAGAAUGCCAGUGAAAACAUGACUUCAAGCCUACUGUCCCAGAAUCUGUAAUUAGCAGCAGGAUCUUCCUGCAGACAGCCCUGCUGCAGCGUCACCAGGAGACAGUCCAACCUUCUUUUAAUUACAGGAGCUGUCAGUUCAGCUUGAUUAAAAAAGAUGAUUGAAGCCGCUUGUGACAACUUACUUUUGUGCCCAAUAGCUCACAGAGCCACUCACCACUGAUUUGUUCACUUGGCUGUGUCCUUAUUACGAGGGGGAAAAACAUACACAUUUUUAAUGUGCCAAACAUUGCACUUACAAGCAAUAGUUUGUGAAAUAUUGCUAGAACAACUUGUACCGCGCCAUCUGCUGCAUGCAGAGAGCUGAGAAACCACAGAUCUGCUUUUUGAGAUAGUUCUGAUCACUGUGUUUGUCAGCAACUUCGUUUCAGCCUUACCUUCAGCUGUGUAUGUGAACAGUACCUGAGAAAUACAUGUAAUGUAUGUCAGGAAUUGAAAUGGAUCUGUGCUCUGUAUCACUCUGUCCCUUCUGAGCUGACGUUGUCUUCUCACUUGUGAAGCACAGGAUGCACAAAUUGCAACUUAAGGUAUGAAAAUGAGUAUCAAACAGAAUCUGCAGGAGUAACUCUGCUGUCAUGGAGAACAGUGCAGCAGGGAAGGAGACGCCUGUAAUUUCCAUUCUGCAGGAGACUUUCCUCCAGACACUUAGCUGAGCUAUGCUUUAUUCCCCAAAUAAUUAGUUAAGAGUUAUUUAUACGGUAUGGUCCCACAAGAUUUCUGAUUUACAGUACAAAGAGUCAGGCACUGAAUACAGUGAUUAUAUUCCAUCUGCAUAGGGCAUUUACUGACAGGAAAGUCUGCGGGCAAGGAGCUCUGGCCCAAGCUCACUGCUUUUCACUGGGACGAAAAAUAAAGAGCAUUUUAGGAGGCCCACAAAGUACAGUUGUUAAACUGACCCUAUUUUCUCUCCCUCUUUCCAUUUUCCUGCAUCCAACCCUUCGGUUUCGCUGGAUUUCAAAGGGACACUUAUUUGUGCUUCUUCCUAUUUUAGGCCGUUUUUAUCAUGUGGCACAGCACUCCAACUGCCUUAGGGGAGCUUUAAUGAUAAUUUUAUUUUUAAAAGUAUAGGCUUAUCUUGCUUGACCUUGAUGCACUGAGUAAAAGGUUGCUAAACUCCUCCUCUAGAAAACAAAACAAGGAACAAAUGUCCUGAGCCUGUCGGAUCAAAAGCUCAAGUGUGGCGGUGCCUUUUGCUACCCCAAAAUAUAUCACCAAGGCAAUGGCAGCAGUGCUGCUAACAGGUAUAGCAAAGGCCUCCCAGCCAGGAUUUAAAUAAUCUCAUUUUCCUGCAGUCUGUUUUCUACAACACUCAGCAAGUCUUCUCGGAGAUGAAAAGCAUCUGACACCAUUCCAAAGAGUACCCUGCUACAGGAGGCGGUUAUCACUGCUCUUCAAGAAGAAAACAGGAGCGUGUCGCUGUUUAAAGGCCAUACAAGGAACCAACACCAAUUGGAAGCCAUUGGUUCUCAGUGAUUGUACCCCUCCUCUCAAACAACCUAAAGGAUAAGAGAGAGCCCACCUUCCUGUUCUCUACCCUGCUCUUUAUCCAGAAGGAAAACGACCUGUGGCUGCAGCACCAAGAACUUUUCUUGCCUGGCUGAACCAAUCUGGAAAAAAUCAUCUGCAAUUUGUGUUUGCUGCAGCUUCUCCCCAUUGAGGGACUGUCUCUAUGGAUCCAGUUAACCCUGCAGCUGCACUAAAAGGAAUACAAGUGUUUCAGCUCACACUCCUCCUCUCCAGUGUGUUUGGUGGUCCACUGCUUCCUUCUGUAAGUCACAGAUCACAUGCUAGGAAUGACAGCAUGAAGUACUUUGAAGGCCUAACUGCAAAAUUCACAGUUGAUUUUCUAUGUCUUGGAGAACUCUGCAGUGUUCAAGGAAAGCCUGCAGGAAGCCAGGUGAAGUAAACCAGGAGAAGGUCAGUAAGUGAAAGCUACGAUAGACAGCCACGUAUCCCUUUGCCACCUGCAAAAAAAGUAACUGAAGCGACCAAAACCUGAGUAAAAUGAAAUGGUUCCCUCACUGCUGGAACCACACGUACCUUGUGAGAACAAGAACCAAGCACUCAUCGUGGUACCUAAGCACUGCAAAUCAGUUUGGUGUGUGCAGGACUCUUACCUGCUAUGUCAAGCUUGGCAAUCUAUAUAUUUCUACCAUGUCUCUAAAGUUGUAGGUGUCAGGAUGCUGAUGUACAGCAGAGAUCUGAAUUUGUGUUAUUCUAUUUUAUGUUUUCCACGAGGUGCCUUCUAAAAUGCAAAAAUACAACAGGAUAAAGCAUCAAAUCAAUGAUACCAUAGUUGAAAGAGGCAGUGAAACAGUAAUCCUUUGCUUUAGCUGUAGUAAUAGUGGGUCAAGCAUCUCAAGCAAGCGUGGAGCUGUUUUGGUUUUCUAGUUGAUGCCGCUCCCUGAACUCCAAAGCUGUGAUAACACUGAGAAGUUAAGAAGCAGAUUUAGUGCUGCACUCUUGUUUUGAUAGAUGCUUUCAUAUCAGCAGUCACAGCAGAUGAUAUUUACAUUUAGGCUGCUGGUUGCACGUUCCUUAAUCUUUUUGGCUCUGCUCGUUCUAUUGAGAAAAAUGAAAUAUGUAUUGUCAGAAACAGCCUUGCUCCAUAGACACUGACAUCCCCCUAUAACAAGGCAAACCAUGAUGCUCACCAGAGCAGAUUUGGUUCUUCAGGGUUACAGACACAUGCACACAUCUAUAGUGCCAGUGCUGGUGUUUGACGCAGUCCAUUUAUGGCACCUCUUAAAAACUGUGUCUUGUAUUAGUAAGUUGCCAAAUGAAGAUAACAGAAUAUCACAGUUAUAAAGGAUUGGGGUUUGAAGUUGUGGGCUCCUCCUUGGAGAGAUCACAGUGAUGAAUCACGUUGUACCCAGCACUUCUGGUUUCAGUU